Molecule: ribosomal RNA, 268 nt
Filed under: uncultured bacterium
Lineage: Bacteria
Description: partial small subunit ribosomal RNA
Rfam family: Bacterial small subunit ribosomal RNA
Source: RNAcentral
AGGACGAACGCUGGCGGCGUGCUUAACACAUGCAAGUGGAGCGACGAACCAGGGCUUGCCCUGGGGCAAAGCCGCGAACGGGUGAGUAACACGUGGGUAACCUGCCCCGAUGACUGGGACAACCCGAGGAAACUCGGGCUAAUACCAGAUGAGCUCCUGCCACAUGAGUGGCUUGAGGAAAGGAAGCUUCGGCCUCCGCAUCGGGAUGGGCCCGCGGCCCAUUAGCUUGUUGGUGAGGUAACGGCUCACCAAGGCUUCGAUGGGUAGC